Molecule: small RNA, 37 nt
Filed under: Candidatus Nitrotoga sp. BS
Lineage: Bacteria; Pseudomonadati; Pseudomonadota; Betaproteobacteria; Nitrosomonadales; Gallionellaceae
Description: abiF
Rfam family: abiF RNA
Source: RNAcentral
CCCGCCACGCCUCUGAUUCAAGCGCACCCCGGCGGGU